GCAGCUGAAGAAAAAGGCUCAAAUGAUCCAGUCACUUUCGAUACUGUACUUCAGAUGCAAAAUGGAUAUUCGAGGCGAAACCUGACAAAAUGCGCCUACUUUGAUGGCAACCGGUAUAGACAAUGACCAGUGGCUGGGUCAGUGGGAUGUCUCUCUGCAAGCAGGGAAGCUUAUCAAAUGACACUAAAAAUAAGUUCAACAACCAUCACAUUUUGAGGGGAAAGGGAAAUGUUUCACGUUGGGCGGGCAUGCUCGUGCGCAAGAUGGAAAAGGAGAAGGCAUGCGUGUUGGUCUAAUUAUCCCUCCUUUGUUGCCUGGCACUGAAACCUCAAGGGGCAUGAAAUUAUUCCCUUGGCCGAUGACCAGAUUUGCCGCUGUCUCUGAGCAAGUCUUUCCCCCCACCGGGCAGCCCCCUUGCUGAUGAGGAAGGGCAUACUGGAAGAGGUCCUGUUCUUUAGAUCGAAGAGGGUAUAAAAAUCUAAUGUGGUAGAAACUGUUGGACGACCGUAGUCUUCCGCGCAAUCGCUACGGGAGGCACUGUCUGGCCACAAAUGUGAUAGAUAGAUAGAUAUUUAGGUCAAAAUGUUGAGGGUGGUGAAAGACAUGGGGAAGAGAAGCUGUUACGGUCAUGAAGGACUUGAGCUUCCCCGCAGUUGAGGUGGAUUCAAGCCAGAGAAAAGAAACCGUGUUUUUCAACAUUCGAGACGAUUAUGCCUUACCUUGGUUGGAGACCCCUGUCUAAGGCAAGGAAUUUCCCACCUUGGCAACUUUAAAGACCCGUGGACUUCAACUCCCAGAAUUCCCCUGAGUGUGUAAAUGGCUGGUUGGGAAAUUCUGGGAGUUGAUGUCCAUAAGUCUUAAAAGUUGCCAAGGUUGGACCUUCCUGGUCUAAGAAAUCACUAGAAUUCACUUGAGAAGUCAAAUAUAAAAAUUGGCUGCAGUGCCAAAGAUCUGGGAGGUAACCAAGCUGGCCUCAUGUUUAGAAGAGGAACCCAGAGAAAAUCUGUCAUAUUCUAAUAUGGUAAGCUAAGCAUCUAGGCAAGUUCACGUGGAGGAAUAGAAGAAUAAAUGUUGGUGAAGGAAAGUCACAUGAUCUACGCAAGGUAGAUCUUGCAUCAAUCAGUUUUUAAUUUAGGGUAUCAACAAGCACAGGGUGGAAAUGACUCUGUUGAUAACGCAUGCAUUAAUAUCCAGAAAGCCUUUGACAAUAUCAAAAGCUUUUGAGUACACAUAACUGGUGGGCCUGUUCUUUUACGGAUUGCCACAAGACUCAAAAACAGAAAGUGAAGACUAAUUGGCAUUCUUCUCGGAAAACAUAACUAAGAAAUCGAGUUCCUCACAGAUCUGUGUUGAGACUGGAGCUUUUUAACUUGUUCAUAAAUUGUGUUUGUUGAGAUUAAUCAGAGGACUGGUCAAAGUUGGGGUGAAAACCAAAAAAAAGGGCUUUCCGUAACCCACAAGGAAUGAAAGUUGAUGUCAACUCAAAAGUACGGCAGCUGUGAAAAAGAUAAAUUCCAUUGCAGAGAUUAACAGCAAAAGGAUUGUAAAUGAAACUGUUAUACUGAACUUAUACAAAUUUGUGAUGUUAUUUUGCAAUAUUUGGAAUGUGAUUUACAGUUCGGGUUAUAAAGUUUGAAAAGGAUGUUGAUAAAGCUGGAGAAAGUGCAGAAGGUGGUAGCCAAAAUCUUCAGGGAAGCGCUAACACCUUAUGAGGAAAAGGUAGAGCGUUUGGGACUUUUUAGCUUAGAAAAAGUUGAGGUGUAUAAACCGUGCGAUGUGUAGAGGAAGUGGAAGGAGAAGAAUGUUAGAAUCGGGCUCACCUAGUAAAUCUUAUUGGAAGGAGAUUUAGAGAAAAAAAAAGAGGUGGAAGCAUUUCAGGCAACACGUAAUUAAUCUGUGGGAUUCAUUACCAGAAAAGAUGGCGAUUUGCCAUCAACUUGUAUGGCUUUCAAAGGGGACUUGAAUAACUCCAUGAAGUCUACCAAAGGUUGUCUGUCUUGAAGACUCCAUGUUGGAAAAGUCUUCCUUUAGAUACCAAUAAUAGGGAAGAAGUGAUGGGAGAAAGAUACCACCUUGGGUCCUUCUUCGGAGCACCACGGUCAUCUGGUUGACUGACCACCGUGAGGAAGCAAAUGCUGGACUAAGAAGGACCUUGUUCCAAAAUCGUUGGUCUUACAUCCUUGCCUAGUUUUGGCUUAAGAUGACCUUUCUCACCGAAAGCAUGUGAGUUCACUCAGAUUAAAGACUUAAGGUUCUACAUGCUGCUGUUCUUAAAGGCUGUUGCAUCUUUUAAACGGAUUUAUAGUCUUCUCCAAUUAAUGGUUUCCACCACUGAAGCUGCCUUCCCGUACCAUUUUGUGAAGGGUAAGGAGGCCAGCCACAGGCUAACUCAGGGGAUUUCUGCUUAAAUAAUUCUGUAAAAUUGUCUGGUUGUACAGUGUGUUAAAUGCGGGGUUAGCAAGAGCAGUAACAACACAAUAUAGCACCAUCAUCUCCUGCAACUCUCAAAAGGUUUAGCUUUGCUGGCUGAGGAAUUCUGGAAGUUGAAGUCCUCCAGGGUUAAAGUUGUCAAGGUUGGAGACCCCUGGUUUAGCUCAUAGCUUUCAAACCAGAUCCGCAGACUUCUGCAGCUAGGGAAGAAUAUAAAAUGAGAGAAUGAUUUGGUGUACAGAUUGUUUAAUACCUGCAAUUCCUCACAAGCAAAUAACUUUAUUUAUCUGUGUGAUUUUUUUUUUACAUUUCUGCAAGAAUAAGAUAAAACAUCAAAUCAUUUCAGUUUCUUACCCACUUCCUAUAGUUGUGGAUCAAUACCUGGAAACCUCUGAUACGGAAUUUGAAAUUAAUUCACAUUGCAGAUCAAAAAUAUUUCAAGACAAAAUGUUUAGAAAAAGGCUUAAUACAUUUUGUUUGUUUAGAAAACAGUCUAAUAGGUUUUGUUACAGGGGAUAUUUAGUUCCUUCCUUUAUUAAAAGUAUAUUGAGAGAUUGCACCAAUCUCAAAAUAGAUAUAUUUGCAAAGAAGGCAUCGGUUAAUGAGUUUUGAUAUUCAAACAGAUCAUAUAUAAAAUUGAUCAUAUGCAGUAUUUCCAUCUUUAAUAAUUUCUAUUCUAAUUCUUUAUAUUCCUUUCUGUGGAACAACAAAGGUUUUUCAGGGUACAACUUUUCAUUAUUUAAUUCAACAGUUAAAAAUCAUUUAAACCAAUAGAUCCUGACACAAAUGAUUGCUAAUCUCAUUGUUGACGUGGAGUAAAAAAAUAUCAAGAUCUGUUUUAAAAGGUUUUUGGCUGUAUUUACCAAGUUCAUGUCCUGUCAGCUUUACUACAAAUAACCAAAGCAUUAUUAAAUUAAUAACAUAUAUUAAAAGAAUUAAAGCUAUGUAUUUAUACCAGUG
Ahaetulla prasina is the source of this 3390-nucleotide long non-coding RNA. RefSeq lists it as uncharacterized. The record is from RefSeq and is a predicted model, not a curated record. The transcript is spliced from 2 exons. NCBI's taxonomy places the organism in Eukaryota, Metazoa, Chordata, Lepidosauria, Squamata, Colubridae.